Molecule: long non-coding RNA, 15082 nt
Filed under: Ananas comosus (pineapple)
Lineage: Eukaryota; Viridiplantae; Streptophyta; Magnoliopsida; Poales; Bromeliaceae
Description: long non-coding RNA (ACOM_LNC018479)
Source: RNAcentral
GAACACUGACUUGCUGGCCUUACUACUGGAGUCGAAUUUGAAGGAGAGUGCAGAGCAGGGAGGAUCCGAAACCGCGAUGACGACGGAGGACGUGAUCGGGGAAUGCCGGCUGUUCUACCUCGCCGGGCAGGAGACAAUGACGGUCCUUCUGACGUGGACGAUGGUCGCGCUGAGCAUGCACCCGGUCUGGCAGGCGCGGGCCAGGGAGGAGGUGUUACGAGCGUUCGGCAAGAGUAAGCCCGACUACAACGGCUUAAGUCGGCUCAAGAUUGUGAGUAUCCAAAAUUCGCGCAUCUCUCUUGAUCAGCGGGCAAUAACGAGAUACAAGUAAUGCUAACUCAUAAACAAUAUUUUGCUGCAGGUGACGAUGGUUAUAUACGAAGUCCUUCGCCUCUAUCCUCCCGCAACUAUGAUCUCGCGGGAAACAUACAAGGAGAUGAAGCUCGGAGAUGUCACAUACCCGCCAGGCGUAGAACUCGUUCUGCCCAUAGUGUUCAUCCACCGCGAUCCCGAAUUCUGGGGCCCCGACGCCGGGGAAUUCAACCCCGAGAGGUUUGCAGAGGGAAUAUCCCAAGCGUCGAGGGUUCCGGGCGCCUUCAUCCCCUUCAGCGGCGGCCCGCGGGUGUGCGUCGGCCAAAGCUUCGCCUUGCUGGAAGCGAAGCUGUGCCUCGCGAGGAUUCUGCAGCAUUUCUCGUUCGAGCUUUCGCCUUCGUAUGCUCAUGCUCCUUACAAUGCCCUAACUCUCCAUCCCCAGUUUGGUGCUCCAAUCAUCAUGCAUAGGUUAUAGAAUGAUCGUUUAAAUGUUAUGCGUAAGAGGAUGUCUGAGGAAUAUUAUGUUCCCAGUUAUUAUAUUUAUUGUAUGUACCUCUCCUGUAAUAAAAUAAAUUGGCUUUUGAUUAAUAAUGAGAUGGGGAGAUGGUUUUAGUUUUCAUUUGGAACCGUAAAUGCAGUAGUGUAUCUAAACUAGCCAAAUCAUCGUAGUGGAUAAAAAAUCACACUUUAAAAGCUUAUAAAAAUAUUUGGGGACUUGAGAGAGAAAAUAAACAAACACACACACAAAGUGAAAGGAUGAUAUUUCAAAUUGAUAGUGAUCAUCUCUUAAUUAAUACUUUCUCCCAGCAACUCAAUAAUGAGAACACUACAAGCUCGGAUAUAAGCAAAAACUAUUUAUUCCAUAGGUACAAGUUCAAAUUGUAAACAAGAAUUACACUAAUUUUGCAAUUGAAUGAAAAUUAAAUUAUUUUCAGAAAUAAGAAAAAUUGCGUUUGAAUGGAUAAGAUGGAAUAAGAAAAAUAGUUAGUAGUUAUAAAUAAAAAAUAUUGAUAUUGCCCUUUAUAUUAUAUUUAAAUUUAAAUUUUAUAUUUAAGUUUUUAAAUUUAAAUAUAUAACUUUUAAUUUUCAAAAAAGUUAAAAUUUAAAUUUAAAUUUUUAAAAUCUCAAAUUUGAAGUUCUAAAGUUUAAAUUUUAAAUUUAAGAUCAAAUCUAAAUUUAAAAAUAUAAAAUAUCACAAAUUUAAAAUUUAAAAAUUAAAAAUAUAAAUUUUUAAAAUUUAAAAUUAAAAUUAAAAUUUUUAAAUUUGAAUUUUUAAAAAUUAAAUAGGGGUGGGAAGAGUCGUUCCCACCCCUAUUCCCACAAAGGUGGGAAUAACUAUCCCACCCCUUAACGGACUUUUUUUUUGUGUUUGGAAAUAAAAAGGGGAUAACCCUUAUCCACCCUCUAUUGUCCAGUGAAAGAAAACAUAUAAAAAUAUUCCGAUUAGAAAAAAGAAUUAUAAAAUUUGGUUUCUAAAUAUUUCUAACAGCGUAGAUCAUUUCUCAUGGGGCCAAUCAUCGAAUUGGAUAUUUCAUCAUCAAAAAUAAUUUACAACCAUAGAUGUCUCCCUAAUUUUGAAAGCACAGAAAGCACAUGAAACUUGUUUAGUACACAGGAAUAAUUUUUUUUAUAUAAAUAUACAAACCCAAAAAAAAAAAAGACGGCCCUGUUCAGCAGGUCGGCCCAGCCCGCGCUACUGCGGGGCAGACGGCCUGCAGUGGGCGAGCGGGCCUGGUCUGCCUCCUGCUGCAGGACGGACCGGGCCUGCCAACUGCUGCAGGGCGGGCGGGCGAGCCUGAAAGCGGGGCCCGGCCGGCACUCCCGUAGCAGGCCUGGCCGCGCUUGCCCCACCCGCUGCGGGGCGGGACAAGGCAAAAAUAAAAAUUAAAAAAAAUACAACAGAUGUAAUCUUUUUCUAAUGCACGAAAUAGAGAAAAAAAAAAAACUGAUGUUAAAAAUAGGAAUAAUUUCAUAGAUGCCCCUCUAGAAACUAUUAAUUUCAUCAAUACCCUUCCAAAAUUAAUAAUAUCACAAAUACCCUCCAAAAUGUGAAAAAUUAUCAUAAAUACCCUCCUCUAGUUAAGAUUCAUUAAAGCCCAUUUGAAUCGGAGUUAAAUUUUUAAAAUACCAUUUUUACCCUUUAUCUCUUUUUAAUAGUAGAAAUACUAAUAGGUAUUUCAAAAUAAUUUUUGUAAAUCUAAAUUUGAGUAUUUAAUAUAUAAAUAGUUAAUUAAAUUAUUAAUAUAUAUUAAUUAAUAAAAAAUAUAUAAAAAUUGUAUUUUAAAUAUAGUAUGUUUUUAUCUGAUUUUGGUUUUGUUUUUGGUUUUGGGUUUCGGUUCAGAUUCGGUUUAAAUAUAGACCAAAACUAUAUAACUGAAUUUACAUACGACGGGAUUUUAUUUUUUGGUAUCUAUAACUAAAACUAUCCCCUAUUCAGCAUUGAUUAAACUUAUCCCAUUUUAAAUCGAGUUUAGAUAAAAUUCCGUAUCUAUAUCAAUUCACAUUCCUAAUUAGUAAUAGUAAUUUUGAAAUAAAUUAUAGAUUUUAUUUUUUUCCUAUUUAAAAAUAAAUCACAUAAUUGUUUUGUCGAUUGAAAUAAAAAGAGAGUUUUGUUCAAAAGCUAAAAUAUAUUAUAUUUCAGUUUUUUAAUACACUUAAUGCAGAUAAAAUUAUCGAGAAUAAUUUUGAUUAAAAAAAUUUUUAAGUUUUCAAGAUUAAAGAAAGAUCGGAUAAUUCCUUAACAUUAUUUUCAUUUAAAUUUUAUAUAUAUUUAUUUAUUUGAUAAAAAAUAAAUAGAGCCAUUAGAUUUGGUAAAAUCAUCAAAAAAAACUAAAAAAUUCUUUUUUUUUUAUACACUGAAAUUAGGUUUUUUUUAUAAAUAAAAAGUUAAUGGGAUAUCAACUAAAAAAUGAAAGUUGAGGGAGCUGUUUCAAAAUGCAUAUAGUUGAGGGGGUUUCCACACAUUUUUAGUUAAAAGAUAUUUGAGGGUAAAUAAGUCAUUUUAAAAAUUAACCCAUCUUUAACCAUGUAAUAACUAUAGUAAAACUAACCUAACUAACAGUAGGGGUAUUAAUGAUAAUUUUUUGUGUUUAUAGGGGUAUUGGUGAUAAUUUAAACUUUAUAGGGGCAUCUAUGAUAUUUUAAACUUUGGGAGGGGUAUCCAUGAAAUUGCCCCUUAAAAAUAAAACGCAAAUCCCACCUUCUCCUACGGAUUGAGAGUUUUCUUCUAUAUUCACACUCCAAAAAUACCGCGAACGUAGAUUUCAACGUAGAUAGAAAUCUCUGAAAAAAAAGAAGAAAAUCACAUGCAUUGAGAGUACUCUUUUAUAUCCACAUUUUAAAACUCCGACCUCAAAUCUUCAGGAACAUUAGUGAAAAUCUCAUAGAGAAAAAAAAAAACCGAAAGAAAAAAAUUGUAUUUAUAAAUUAUCGAUGCCCUUUAUUAUCUUCUAAAUCAUCCCGAUUAGGAUUAGAGUAUCUAUUACAAUAUAAUAAAUAUUAAUAAUAAAGAGAUGAAUUUCUUAACUAAUAAAAAAUAUACAGUCUAUUCUUAUUUUUAACUUAUUAGGAUAAAUAUUCAUCCACAUCUUAUGUGGAUUGGAUUGAAUUUGAUCUGGCCAAUACGGAUACAACACAUAGCAGCAUGUUUGUUGGUCUAAAGUUUUAAGAACUUUCGUUUCUACCACAAAUAAAAUUUCUUUAAGAAAAACAUUCAAAGAAGCAACCAAAAUUAACUAAAUUAUACAUUCACUUUAAUUUUCUCAUUACGAUUUUAAUUAUAAAAAAAUUAACCCCUAAACUUUCUCGCGCGUAAAAUUUGAAUUUCCAUGUUAUUUAAAUAAGCCUCCGUGUGAGGAGCAAAAUUAGAAUUUGCUUUGUUAAAAUAGAAACAGUCAUCACUAAAUUAAGACUGGGAUGAAACUUCAAUAAUUUAGAAAAUUUGAGAAUAAAAUCUAGAUAAGAGUCAAACUUCCACGGAUGAAGUUGUUCUAAUUAAAAUUUUGAGAAUAGAACUAAAAUUCUCAUGAAUUUUUUGUUUAAAGGUGAUUAAUAUUUUAAAAUAAGAAAUGUUUAUUUCAGAAAUAAAAAAGAACUGCUUAUUUCAUAAAUAGAUACAAAAUUCAGGUAUAAGCUGGAACUAGAGUAAUUUUUUAUUUGGAUGAAAAUUAGGUUGUUUUUGAGAAAAAGAUAAAUAAUAUUUGGAUGGCUAGAUUGGAGUAGCGGAAAGUAUUAAUUAAAAUAUUUAUUAGCUAUGAACAUUAUAUAAGAUAAUUAAAAUAAUUAAUUAAUUUAAUUAAUUAUAAAAUACAAAUUGAUUUUUUAAUUACUUAGUGAAUUAUUUAAUUAGUUAGAUGAGUUAUUGAGAAAUUAAUUUAAUUACUUGACCAAUAUAAAUAUUGGUUAUUAAUUGAACACAUUAAAUAAUUAAUUCUUAAUGAGCUAAUUGACUAUAAAUAAUAAAUAAACUAAUUGAUUAAUUAACUAUUUAAACAAUAGAUAAUAAUUCAAAUAUAUUAAUUAGAUUAAUUUAUAAGUUAAUAUAAUAAUUAAAAUUAGAUUUUAACUUUAGCUAAACAUGUUUCCAUUUGGAAGCAAACUUAUUCCUAAAAGAAAUUUUGGGGAACAGUGAGGAUAAAAUAGUCUUUUCACGAUCUAAAAAGCCACGCGUGAUAUACAAAGACCAUCUCAUGUGGUGGUAAAACAUGUUGUACUUGACCCAAGGGUGUGGUGGUGGCCUACCAAGGGUUCCAAUCAAACCCGUAAACGACCCGGCGUUUUGUUAGAUAUAAUAAGAGAAAACUUCAAAAACAUAUAGUUAGAAAUACAUAUAGUUUUUAUAAAUGCAAUAUAAAUAAAUGCAAUAUAGAUAGAAAUACAUAUAGGUUUUUUUUGACAGAUAGGUAGCACGCUACCCGAUUCGUUUAUUUCAUUUAGAAUAAACUUAGCUGGAAAUGUGAAUUAACUAGGAUUCAAAAUUGGGUCUCGGGUAUCAACCAUCAAACCCUUUUGCCACUUGCGCUAGGGACGGUCGGUAGAAAUACAUAUAGUUGAAACUAUAGUAGUUGUAACUACAUAUAUUUCAUUUGGCUGGAUGUAAUAGAAAACGCUGCAAUUACAAGUAAUUUGUUUGGUUAUAAUUAUAAAUAAUUUUUGAAAUAAUUUGGUAAGCAUAUGAUACCUCUAAAAUUUAGAAUAAUUUCAUAUAUAAAAUAUGAACUACGCUGAAGUACUAUCAACAGCACCGAGCGCUUAGUGCCAUUAGAUUUUCCGCCUUUGGAUGAAAAAAUAUACGAUUAGGAUUAUGUGAGCCCUCUAGGGUUGAGUGAGUUAUUGAUUGAAUAGUAUAAUCUAAUGGAUAAAAACAAUCAAAGAGUCAAAUCUAACGGCGGAAAACUUGGUAGCACCAAGCAAUUGGUGCUAUCGAUAGUAUCCCAGCCGGACUCUAUAAAAUAUAAUAGAAUGUAAUCUGAGGGCAUAUUUGAUUCAUAAUUGAAAUAAAAAAUAAAAAAUUAAAUUAAAUUGUUUCGGAAUUAAAAAUACAAUGAUGAAUCAUCCAAAAAUAUUUGGUUUAUUAUUGGAAUAAAAAUCGAAAUGAAAAUUUAGAAUUUUCGAGAGAGAAUUUUAAUUAAGAGAAAGAAAAAUGAUGAACGGAAAGAAGAUAGAUGUUGGUGAAAGUGGAUUUUGAAUAAUUUACUUUGAAAUGGGCCAAUUUGGAAUUCAAAGCCGGAUUGAGCACCAACUAUCCCUAGCGCAAAUGGUAAAGAGCUUGUGGUUGGUACCCGAAGUCCCAAAUUCGAAUCCUAGUUGAUUUACAUUUUCAGCUAAGUUUAUUUCUAAUUAAAAAGAAAUAAACGAAGCGGCUAGCAUGCUAUCUUUCUCUGAAAAAAAAAGUCGGAUUGGGCCAUAAAUGGAUUUAGCCCAUUUUCAUUCCGGAGUGGAAUGGGAACUAGAAUCCGAUUCUUAUAAAACAAACGACAACUAUUGAAAUUAAUUAAUUACAUUUUAAUUUCAUAGUGUAAAAUAGGUGAACCAAACAUAUCCUUAAUUCGGUUAUAUUAUUUUGGGCAGUAAUUAGACUCGAAAGGUUAAGAGGAUUAAAUUUGACUCGAAAGGUUGAGAGGAUGCUAAAGCAAUUAUAGGAUGAGUGAUUUUUUAGGAAGCAGAGUGUUUUUUAUAUCAGAGCAAAUCACCAGUUAGAAAUGUAAGAUAAAUUUCAACUGAGGUGAGAUGAGAUCAUACAGUGGGCAAAGUGCGACUCUCCGACUGUCGGCCGUUGUGAAUGGGAAGAUUAUACAGCGAGCAGAGCGCGGCUUCCCGAUUGACAGCUAUUGUGGGCAGAGCGCGACUGUUCACAAGGUCGGUAAAGACUAGCGAGAUGAGUGACACAUCGCCUGAUAUUUAUAAGGGGCAAUUGCCUAUAUACCUCUGAAAAGUGCUCAGUUUUCUUAUUUACCCCUCUUAGAAAGCUAAUAUUGAAAAUACCCUUCUUAUGUUCCAAGUCUUUCUAAUAUACCCCUGGAGUUAAGUUCCGUUAGUAAGCUGCCGUUAUCUCUGUAAAAUUACCAUUUUGCCCAUUCUAAAUAUACCCUUCUACCGUAACUAACUUUUCUUAUAUAUCCUUUAUAUAGCGAAUACUUUUCUUAUUUGCCCUUCAAAUAUCAAUUAAUUAAUUAAGCACGUCGGGAGCGAGCAGAUGAACGGAUGAGAUCGAUCGCAGCUAAACAAACCUUGGUGGUUGGAGACAUAGUUAGUUAAUUCAGAUUUGGCAAAAAUUCGGUACGGAUAAAAUUCGGAUAAAAUUCGUCUUUUAAUUUUUAAAUUUGUUGAAAAAUACGGCUAAAAAUUGGAUUAGGCAAUUAUUCAGAUACGUAAUUUUUACAGGUAUUAUGUGUUCACCAAUUAAAAAUUCGGAAUAAAAAAUUCGAAUAUAUAAUAAAUAUAUAAUAAUUAAUAUACUAUAUAUAUUAUUAUUAUAUUAAAUAUAUAUAUAUUAAAUAUAUAUAUUUAAAAUUAUAAUAAAUAUAUAUUAAUAAUAUAUAAGUGUUAUAUAUUUAAAAAUAUUAAUAAACUUAGAUUUGUGCAAAUCAGAAGACUAAUUUAUUCCAAUUAAUCUCAGAUAAUUAACUAUUCCACCCUAAUUAACUCUCCUAAUUAACUCUUCCACCCUAAUUAACUCUCCUAAUUAACUCUUCCACCAUAAUUAACUCUCUCAAUUAACUCUCCCAAUUAACUCUCCCAAUUGACCCUCGUACAGCACCCCUCCUCGUCCCCUUCCUCCGGCACCGACAGCACCCACCUCGACCACCGUCGCCACUCCAAACCUCGAGGGUGGCGACCCAUGAGGCAAUAUUGGUGAUCGGAGCUGCUGUUCCCGACAGAGGCAGAGACGAAGAACGGGUUUCUCAGCAACGAAGAAGGCGUCCACGGAGAUGGUGUCGAGGUGGAAGGCACGAUGAUGCUACCGGUGGUGAGGGAGACGAUGUCGACCCGCUCACAGCGAUGUUGAAUGUGACGAGAAGAAGGAGGAGGACGACGACGAGAUCUGCACAAAUCGCUGCGGCCCUCUUGCUCUUGGCGCCGGCCAAGGCGGCGGCAGAGGAGGAGGAGGACGACGAGAGCAACGACUAGCGGGCCGUUUUUUUGUGAGAAUGAGGCGAGGCUUCUUGGGGGCGAAGGUGGAGGCGGAGGAGCCGGCGCCAAGGUUGGCGGUGGUGGUGAGCUGCUGGCGCUCGCGGCGGCGGGCGGCGGGCGGCGGGACCCAAGUUAGGAGAGAGAGGAUAAGUUGGGAGAGAAAGAAAGGAUAAAUUAAGGAAAUGGUUUAAUAAGGUAGGGGUAAAAUAGGUAUUUUAAUUAGGUUUUAACUCUGGUAUACAUUUAAUCCAUGUUUAACCCGAGUUAAACUAAUAGGGGAUAACUGCGGAGGUAUUUUGGAAUAACGGUAGAACAUAUGAGGGGCAUUUUAGAAAGAAAAAAAAAAAUAGAGGUAGAUCGAAUAUUUCCAGACGCAUGAGGGAUAUAUAGGCAAUUAUCCCUAUUUAUAAAUGUGUUUGAGCGUGACAAAAACUUAAAGGAAGAAAGAAUGUGGUACCCUAAGGAUUCGAAAUAAUCAUAUAUAUAGGAUAUAAUAUUAUUAAAUAUCUCAAUCCGGCUAUAACAUUACGAGCGGUGAGGUUAAGAGGGUUAAAUUAUUAGAACUAAAAUAGUUCUAAAAUAGAUGACCAUCUUGAAAAGCGAGAUUAUCACACAUAUUAGUCAUCUACAUGGACGUGUCCUAGUACUGACUUUCAUGGGAGGGAUACUUUUAGAUUUAAGCCUAGGCCCAUGACCUAUAUCUGCUUGGUGAUUUCAGUUUUGGAACUCUGACUCGACGAUAGUUUUGCCAUGCGACUAAUUUAAAAAUUAAGUUUGUUGAGAAAAAAUGAAUGUUUGUAGUGGGUAGCGGAUCUGAAACCUGUUAUGAAUUUGCUUUUUCGUUUUGCCCGCGACAGAUUGAUUGUACUCUAAACUUUGUAAUCUUUUUUUUUGCUCGAUAGUGAAGCUCUCUUUAUUCGCCUGUGACUUUUUUUUGUAAAGAAUCUUAUAUAAAUCUGUGUGUUCUUUUAUUUUCUGUUUAUGAUUUGUCUACUUUGUGUACGGCAUGUUCGUUUCUGUUUGUACGUUUGUCAUAGCACACUCCGAUAACAGUAAUCGAUGUACUCUAACCCUAAAAAAAUAACUAGAUUUGGAUGAAAAUUUAGUUUGAAAAAUUAGAUCUAUUUAUACAAAUUAUUUUGUUCGGAAUAAAGUCUGAGUCGGAUCCUAAUAAUAAAAAAAAAAUCAGACAAACUUGAUCAACAACCCAAUUUUCCAAUAAUACAUUAAAUAGUAAAACGAGAUUAUAUUAUAUUAUUUUGAGAAGAUCAAUGCGGCGUUUCUUUGAUUAUGAUAUUUUUAUUUUGAAUGCAUGAAUUUUGUUCUUACUUUUGUCGAUCUCGUCGCUCAUUCCUUCGUGUCCAAGACAAGUAAUUUAGACUAUUCAAACACUUAACACGCUUAUACAAAGAAUUCUCCGUCCCCAUACCUUUUGUCACCUAUAAAAAGGGCCCAAUUAUAACUAAUUUGUCACGUAUCAUACAUAACAUAUCAUGUGCAUAGAGUGUUGAUUAAAAGGAAGCAAUCAUAUAACCAUGUUUUGGAGUGUGGUUCUGUUAUUAGGGUCUGCAGUGGCUGCAGGUUUUGUGGUGGUGUUCCUGAGAUUGUUGAAUUGGGCGUGGCUGCGGCCGCGGCGCCUCGAUCGCGCCCUGCGGGCUCAGGGCCUCAAGGGCACGACGUAUCGGUUCGUCUAUGGCGACGGUGCCCGCAUGGAGCAGCUCCGCAAAGAGCGCGAGGCGAAGCCCCUCCCGGAUCUAACCCACGAUAUAAUCCCGCGCAUCGCACCGCUGUUUCAAGAAGCCAUGAGGGAAUAUGGUACAUAGUUUUCUUCGGUUUUGCACGGUUUUGCAGAUUGUUGUUGUUCGUAUUUUGUUGCAUGCGUACAUAUUUUUAUAAACUUUUCGAUUCAUACUGCUUUGAGAUUUGUGGGGCUUUAUAGGUUUUUUGGAUUGUACUGGUUUGAAAUUCUUCGGCGGCUUCUUUGUUAAGCUAUAAGGAAAAGUUUAAUUGGAGUUUUGGACUUAAUUUCCCUUGUUAAUAUAUGUUUCAUGCACCUCAAAUGUAAAGUUUGAAUGUAUAAAUGCCUUAACACACCAUUUCAUUUUUUAAUUGUAGCCGUAACUGCAUGGUAAUUAUAACCGAAUGCAAAUUCAAAUUUGAUGUCGGAUUUAAUAAAUUUGGAUUCUGCUGAAGCUGUUUAAAUUACGCCCAAUUGAUCGCAGUUUCAACCCUAGCAAUAACUUUUACCAAAAUACAAGCUUAACUACAUCCCAAUAACCUUUUAAAUAUAAAAUUCUUAUUUUUUCUUUAUAGAGCAUAAUAUCAUCAUCCUAUAAAUAAAUCGAUAAAAUUAUAUAAAUGUAUUUCUCAACCGCAUACAGCUACACAAAUUAUUUAUAGUUAUAUUAUUUUCUACUAUAUACAAUCAAAUAAGAUAUAUAAAAUUAUAAUUAUUGUAUUUUCAAUUACAUUUACAAUUACAUCUAGCUAAACAGGUAAAUAAUUUUACUAAUAACUGAUUUUUUUUUUAUGUUUUUAAAUAAGGUAAAAUGUCAUUCGUUUGGCUUGGAACCCAUCCAGCUGUGACCAUAAUGGACCCAGAUUUGGUCAAGGAGGUUUUAUCAACCAAGUUUGGACACUUCCAGAAACACAAACCUGACUCACUAUCAAGGGUUGUGGUCACUGGUCUUUUACUUCAUGAAGGUGAGAAAUGGGCCAAUCACAGGAGAAUCAUCAACCCAGCUUUCCACACGGAGAAACUAAAGGUAAAUAUUUUGUGGUACUUUUAAAAGCAUCAAGAACUUGAUGCACAUAAGUUUUCUGCCGGUAGACCUAUUCUUUUAAUAAUUUCCACACGUUAGAUCAUGAUAUUCAACGAAUCACCUACUCAACCCUAUAAGUCCACCAUCAUCCUAACUGUACAUCUCUUAAUCUAAGGGCUAAAAAUCUACCAGUACCAAUGACUUGAUAUUUUUAGAAGUAUAGAAGUUCAAUUUAAUCUAAUCACUUCCUUCAAUAUCCCAAGCCUAGUUUUGCUUUAGUUUAACGUAAAAAUAAAUUGUUGGAACUGUUGGCUUAAAUGGAUCAGCAUCCUGCCCUGUGGCGGGAGGCCAUGUGGGCCGAGUCAUGUUCGAAAUGGCGUGAGGCUGGGUUGGGCCGAGUCAUGUUAGAAGUGGCGUGAGACCAGGUGGGCCGAAUCACAAUCGAGACCCGUGGGCGUUGUUUCUGUACGCUUUAAGUGAAUUGGUUGCGUAUUUCUAACAGCUCGAGCUUUUGGGAUUAAUGGUUAGCACCAACGAUCCGACAGGAACGUGCUCACUUUGAUGCUUUAGAAAGUUGGAAAUGUUCAAAGUUACAUUUUGGACUAAGGAUUUGGACCGGUUGGUAUAAAUAUCCCAAAUUCUAUCAGAACCCGAAUUCGAACAGAAUGAAUUUAUCUGACGCUAAACAGAACCCACCGGAUUUAGAUUUGAGUAUAGAUUUUAUUUGUAUCCUUACCCAAAUAAAUUUUAUAUUAUAUAAUUAUAUAUACGAAUGUUGUUAUAUUUGAAUUUGUAUUUUAAAAAACUAAAUUUUUAUAUAUAAUAUAUUUUGAAAUAUGGUAAAAAAAAGGUUUUCGAGAUCGAAUUUGGGUUUUCGGCUUUUGGUCGCUCAAAAUUCAUCAAAUUCGGAUUCGGAUUCAAAUUUUGGAUUUGGCUGUCUGAUUCGGUUUCGGGUUUUUAAAAAUUUACUACAAAUCCCUGCUUUGGACCAUUGGACUUGUAGCCUUUUCCAAUCUCCUAAAGUAUCACAAUUUUUGUUAGCGUAUAUAGGCAAUUCUUUUAUUUUAUUUUUAUAUUCAAAAGUCAAUUUUAAUGCAUGUGGUCCAAAAUUUUUAAAUAAUUAUUUUAUAAUAUUUAAUAUGGUAUCAAAAUUUAAGACAAUCUAUAUGUUGGAUCUAUCAAAAAAAUUUUAAACUCCGACAUAAACGAGAGUAUAAAUAUUAAAAAAAAAUUAUUCUCUAACACCUUUUAUUUUUUUUGGAAAUAAAGGAUUGUCUUAUAGUAUUUAACACACGCUCUUAAGAUACACAAAUUAUUUUGUACACCACAUUACACAUACUAAUAUACAUUAGCGAAUAUUACAAAUACCAAAACUUCACUUUCAUAUUUUCUAAUAUUCAAAUAUCAAUUUCAGAAUAUGCUAUGCAGUUUGUUGAAUAUAAAUAUUAAAAAUAUUAUUUUUUUAGUAGUUUAAGCUUUUGACUAACAAUAUUUAUUUCAUAUUAAUUUAACAUAGUAUGAAAGUAGAAGAUUCCGAAUUUGAGUUCCGUUAUAUUACUUGUUUAUUUAAUUUUUAUCGUUUAAUUUUAAUUCACGCUGUGCACCUAUUAAAAUGGUCUCCAAACAAUUGUUUCAUAUUAAUUUAACACGGUCCCUCAUGUCUCGUAUUCUCUUUUUAUUUUCAUUCUUUUUUGUUGACAUAUAUGGGUUAUGUAUAUGUAUAGUGCAUGUUACCGGCGUUUUCUGAGUGUUGCGACGAAUUGAUCGAGAGGUGGGAGAAGCUUUUUGUUGCCGGAGGUAGUGGUGACGGUGAUGGUGAAGUGUCGCUGCAUCGGGAGGUGGACGUGUGGCCAGAAUUUCAAACGUUCACCGGCGAUGCCAUCUCCCGGACGGCGUUCGGGAGCAGCUUCGAGGAAGGGCGGCGCAUCUUCCAGCUCCAGAACGAGCUGGGCGAGAUCGUCGUCGACGUGGCGCAACGUGUACACCUUCCUGGAUACAGGUAUGUGAAUACAUAUUGUCCUAUUUGAAUGCAUAAAUAUCUUAUUUCGUAUAUUUUCUUAAUUUGUUUAGAUUAUGUUUGGAUAUCAGAAUAAGUUAUUUAAAGAUAACGUAUUCGAUCCAUAAGAAAUUCUUUCAGUAUGACUGUGGGUAAGGAGUUUGAUUUUUAUUUUUGUUUUAAAUUUUCCUAUUUAUAAUUCGAUAGAAUAAUAUAUUUUAUUUCUGAAAUAAUUUAUAUUAUUCUGAAAAAAAUAUACUUGAAAUCUAAGUAUAGUAUUUUAUUCUAAACAUUUGAUUACACUCUUUAUCAAUUAAAUAUAUAAAUUUUUUAAGCAAAUUAUAGGAAUGUAUAGAAACAAGAUAGAAUAUACAUAAAAAAACAAGGCCUCUUAUUCGAUAUAUCUUUUUAAUGUACUCAAAAAAUAUAUAGUUUUUUAUAGAUGAAGAGUGUGAUCGAAUACUUAGAAUAGAUAUUAUAUUCAAACUUAAAGUUUAUUUUUUGAAAUAAAAUAAAUUAUUUUUUAGAUAAAAUAUGUUAUUCUAUCAAAUCAGAGAUCCUAAGGUUUUUCAAUGAACAAAAUCUAAAUAACUAAAUUCCAAUCACAUAAUAGUGGAUUAAAAUAAUUAUGAUUAAAUGUCUAGAAUGAAAUAUAAUAUAUUUAUUGGAAUAAGAUAAAUAAUUUUAUAGAUGAAAUAUAUUAUCCUACUAAACUAUAAAUAUUAAGAUAUUUAGAGUAACAAAACUCAAGCCUCAUAAGUAUAAUUAUACUAGAAAAUUUUUGGGUUAUUUGCAUACACGUCCUUCCAAACAUAGUAAAUUGCGGAUAUAUCCCUGCAAAUUGGAAACUCCAUAAGUUAUCCCUGCAAAAGUCCUAAGUUAUGCAGAUAUGUCCCUACCGUCCAGAUCUGCUAGAAAAUUUUCAUUAACCACGGUUAAAAUGCUUAACUAUGGUUAAGUGUAGUGUAAAUUGACGUAUUUACCCUUCUUCCUCUUCCUCCUCUUCCUCUUCCUCUUCCUCGUCGCCGGCGAGGAGAUGCGGUGGCGACGGCGGCAAUGGUGGCGAACCCUCUUCCUUUUCCUCUUCCAUCUUCCUCUUUUUCCUUCUUCUUCCUUCUUCCUUCGUUUUCUUCCCUCUUCUUCGUCACCGGCGAGGGAGAAGAAUCUCGUCGAGGUCGGUCUCGGAGGAAAGGCGGGCGAGUUUCUGGACGAGAAGCUCGAGGGCGUUGUUGUCGACGAGGGCGGCGACGAGGGCAUGUGCGGGGUCGUCGUGGUCACCGAGGACGUCGGCGUCGGUGAGGUCGGUGGGGAGGGAGACGACGUCGCCGGCGAUGUCGACGAUGUCGUGGCCGAGAAGGCCGACGAGGGAGGGGACGCCGUUGAGGGCGACGAGCUCCGGGUAGAGCUCCGGUGCUCGGCGUUCUUCCCUCUUCUUCGUCGCCGGCGAACCUGACCCAGCGCCGCCGCCGCCGUCGUCUGCUUCGACGGUCCGAAAAGGAAAAGAAAGAGAAGGGAAAGAGGAAAACUUUUGGAGGGAUAUAUUUGUGAUUGUAAAAUGGUCAUUUCACGACUUCGCUGUUAAAAAACAAACAGCUCACUAACAGAUGUUAACUGCAGGGACAUAUCUGCAUAACUUGGGACUUUUACAGGAACAACUUAUGGAGUUUCGAUUUUGCAGGGAUAUAUCCGCAAUUGGCUAUGUUUGCAGGGAGCUGUAUGCAUUUGACCCAAAAUUUUUAGACAAAUACUCCUGGGUAACUUAUUCUGAUGUCUAAACAAAGCCUUAACUGCCGCUUGGUUAGAUGCAUUUAUACAUGCAGACUCAUCUAAAAUCACUAGCAUGCAUUCUUUAUCGUUCCUGUACGGAUUGAGUAGUAUUAAUCAUUUUAAAUUGAUGAAACAUGAAUCGAUGUAGUUUAUUAUAAAAUUUUGAAGUUUAGAGGGUAAAUAUAAUAGUUUAAACCAUAUAUAAUUUCCUCUUUAGAUCAAUUUAAAGCUAAAAAACGUUACUCUUUCAUUGACACAGGUACCUGCCCACAAAAACGAAUAAGCGGAUGGACAAAAUACUUGCAGAGAUUGAUGUGCUGAUGAGGGGAAUGAUUGAGCAAAGAGAGGAGGCCAUCAGAAAAGGAGGGUCCAGGAACACUGACUUGUUGGCCUUACUACUGGAGUCGAAUUUGAAGGAGAGUGCAGAGCAGGGAGGAUCCGAAACCGCGAUGACGACGGAGGACGUGAUCGGGGAAUGCCGGCUGUUCUACUUCGCCGGGCACGAGACGACGGCGGUCCUUCUGACGUGGACGCUGGUCGCGCUGAGCAUGCACCCGGCUUGGCAGGCGCAGGCUAGGGAGGAGGUGUUACGAGUGUUCGGCAGGAGUAAGCC